ACAGCAGCUGUCCAGGGUUGGAGGAUGUUCAGUGAGAGACUGUGUGAACAAACUCUUAAACAAGGUUAUGUCAAAUGCCUUAAUGGCAAAGUUUAAUAUGAAGGGAGGCGGACACUUGGAGAAAAGGUCUUUCAAAUCGACUGGUCUAUAUCAAAUUUUGCAAGAUGCAGUGAAAAGGUGGAACCCUGAUGCCACAGAUGUACAAAUCGAUGCAGCAAUGGCAGAGCAUCUGAAGCAUGCACCUGGAAGAGCCGGAGGGGAGGGAUAUAAAAAAUAAACAUGCACGCGCGCACACAUACAUGCGCACGCACACACGCAUGCAGAGUUAGACAAAAAGUCUGUAACUUGGAGAACCUGUAAUUAAUCAAAGAAACAUGAUCGAACCUUAGGUAACUAAUCAAUGUGAAGAUCACAAGUUGUUUUUCUUUUUUUUUUCUUGUAGAAAACAAGUUCAUAGAUGUUCAAUUUGACCCCCUUGAGGGACAUCAUUCAUAUAUAUAAAAUACACAUAUACACGCAUGCAUAUAUGUAUAUAUACACACUUAAUUCUUCU
This is a long non-coding RNA of Danio aesculapii, 553 nucleotides long. RefSeq lists it as uncharacterized. NCBI's taxonomy places the organism in Eukaryota, Metazoa, Chordata, Actinopteri, Cypriniformes, Danionidae. The transcript is spliced from 3 exons. The record is from RefSeq and is a predicted model, not a curated record.